This 508-nucleotide ribosomal RNA is filed under the name uncultured bacterium. Its description in RNAcentral is "bacterial SSU rRNA". It matches the Rfam family "Bacterial small subunit ribosomal RNA", at positions 28 to 527 of the family's 1533-position model. The record is from RNAcentral.
GACGAACGCUGGCGGCGUGGAUUAGGCAUGCAAGUCGAACGGUAUCAUCCUUUCGGGGGUGAGAGAGUGGCGAACUGGUGAGUAACACGUAGGUUAUCUACCCUCAAGACGGGGACAACCCAGGGAAACUUGGGCUAAUACCGGAUGUGAGCAACUUUUAGUUGUUUGAAAGGUGGCGUAAGCUGUCGCUUGGGGAUGAGCCUGCGUCCUAUUAGUUAGUUGGUGAGGUAACGGCUCACCUAGGCAAUGAUAGGUAGGCGGCCUUAACGGGUGGUCGCCCACACUGGGAUUGAGAUACGGCCCAGACUCCUACGGGAGGCAGCAGUCGAGAAUAGUCUACAAUGGUCGGAAGACUGAUAGUGCGACGCCGCGUGAACGAUGAAUCCCUUCGGGGUGUAAAGUUCUUUUAUAUGUGAGCAGUGCUUCUUAUAUUAACAGUAUGGGGAGAGAGAUAUUAGCAUAUGAAUAAGCAACGGCUAACUCCGUGCCAGCAGCCGCGGUAAUUACG